RNAcentral lists this ribosomal RNA (462 nucleotides) under uncultured bacterium. Its description in RNAcentral is "partial 16S ribosomal RNA". It matches the Rfam family "Bacterial small subunit ribosomal RNA", at positions 28 to 507 of the family's 1533-position model. The record is from RNAcentral.
GACGAACGCUGGCGGCGUGCUUAACACAUGCAAGUCGAGCGGACAGGCCCUUCGGGGUACUCGAGCGGCGAACGGGUGAGUAACACGUUAGUAACCUGCUCCAGACUUUGGGAUAACCCUCGGAAACGGGGGCUAAUACCCGAUACGACACAGCUUCGCAUGGGGUCUGUGUGGAAAGUUUUUCGGUUUGUGUUGGGCUCGCUGCUUAUCAGCUUGUUGGUGGGGUGAUGGCCGACCAAGGCACCGACGGGUAACCGGCCGGAGCGCGGAGCCGGUCACAAGAGGACUGAGAGACGGCCCAGACUCCUACGGGAGGCAGCAGUGGGGAGUAUUGCGCAGUGGGCGGAAGCCUGAUGCAGCGACGCCGCGUGAGGGAUGCCGGCCUUCGGGUUGUAAACAUCUUUCAGCAGGGACGAAGCGUAAGUGACGGUACCUGCAGAAGAAGCGCCGGCCAACUACGUG